AACGCACCUUGCACCUCUUGGUAUUCCGAAAGGUAUGCCUGUUUGAGUGUCAUGAAAUAUCAACCAUUAGGGUUUCCUAAUUGGCUUGGACUUGGGUGUUUGCCAUCUGGCUCACCUUAAUUGCGUUAGUGGAUGACCCAUUAGCUUGACGUGAUAAGUUUCGUCACUCGAUUGGUCAGCAUCUGCUCACAACACCAAUAUUUCUUAAUCUCUGACCUCAAAUCAGGUAGGACUACCCGCUGAACUUAA
This 249-nucleotide unclassified non-coding RNA is filed under the name Octospora sp. Its description in RNAcentral is "partial contains 5.8S ribosomal RNA, internal transcribed spacer 2, and large subunit ribosomal RNA". The record is from RNAcentral. Lineage: Eukaryota; Fungi; Ascomycota; Pezizomycetes; Pezizales; Pyronemataceae.